GACGUAGGGGCGAGCGUUCGUCCGGAAUUACUGGGCGUAAAGGGCGCGUAGGCGGCCGUUCAAGUCAGGUGUAAAAUACCCGGGCUCAACCCGGGGAUAGCACUUGAAACUGGGCGGCUAGAGGGCAGGAGAGGGGGAGGUGGAAUUCCCGGUGUAGUCGGUGAAAUGCGUAGAUAUCGGGAGGAAUACCAGUGGCGAAGGCGACUCUCUGGACUGACCCUGACGCUGAGGCGCGAAAGCGUGGGGAGCAAACAGGAUUAGAUACCCCGGUAGU
Molecule: ribosomal RNA, 274 nt
Filed under: uncultured bacterium
Lineage: Bacteria
Description: partial 16S ribosomal RNA
Rfam family: Bacterial small subunit ribosomal RNA
Source: RNAcentral